GAGUAUUUCAGUUCUGAAUUUUUAUGUAUUUUUAAAUUUAAUGUAAAUUUUAGUGUUAUUUUUAUUUUUUAUAAAUAAGGGAGUAAAAUUUUUUUAAGAGAGUGCAGUAAUUAAUUUUUUAAAUUUAAAAAUUUAAGAUAAAGAUAAUAAUAUUUAGUAUAAACUAAAUUUGUGCCAGCAGUUGCGGUUAUACGGGUUAUGCAAUAAAAAUAGUUUAGAUAGAGUUAAAAUUGAUUAGAUAAAUUAAAAAUUUAAAAUAACUUUAUUAGGUGAAAUUUUAUAUUUAUUAAAUUUUUAAAUAUUUAAGAUUUUGAGGCUUAGAAAUUUUGUCUUUAAACUAGGAUUAGAUACCCUAUUAUUAAAAUGUAAAUAUUUUGUCUAAAUAAGUGCUAGAAUUAAUUAAAAUAAUAAAAUAAGAAAAAUGUUCUUGAAAAUUAAGAAGAAUGGCGGUAUUUUAGUCUUUUCAGAGGAACCUGUCCUGUAAUUGAUAAUCCACGAUUUUUAUUACUUUUUUUUUUAGUUUAUAUAUCGCUGUGGUGGAAUAUUUUCUUAAAAGUAUUAAAUAUUCAUAGUUUUUAGAAAGAAAAAUUCAGGUCAAGAUGUAGUUUAUAAAAAAGGAGAGAUGGGUUACAAUAAUUUAAAUUUUGGAAAAAUAUUUUAAAAUUGUUUAAAAAUUGGAUUUGAGAGUAAUUUUAUAAAAUUAAUAUAAAAUGAUUUUAGCUCUAAAAUGUGUACAUAUCGCCCGUCGCUUUCAUUUUAAAGUGAAAUAAGUCGUAACAUAGUAGAUGUACUGGAAGGUGCCUCUAGAAGACA
Molecule: non-coding RNA, 813 nt
Filed under: Ips subelongatus (larch engraver beetle)
Lineage: Eukaryota; Metazoa; Arthropoda; Insecta; Coleoptera; Curculionidae
Source: RNAcentral